Molecule: long non-coding RNA, 535 nt
Filed under: Salmo salar (Atlantic salmon)
Lineage: Eukaryota; Metazoa; Chordata; Actinopteri; Salmoniformes; Salmonidae
Description: lncRNA (ENSSSAG00000117070.1)
Source: RNAcentral
CAGAGGCCUCUAUCAUUCUCUAUGGUGGUGAACUAAUUGGGUUCUAUGUAGUUUACCACCAGAGGCCUCUAUCAUUCUCUAUGAUAGUUACUGUUUUAGAUGUAGUUUACCACUAGAAGGUGGUGAUGGGCUGUACCAAUGUUAUUUCCAAUUUUUGUAUCAAGACCAAAUAUGUGUGUGUCCGUGUGUUACUCACUUCAUUUCGUCAGUGCUUCUGUGUGUGUUUUUGUGUGUUUAUAUACAGUGAGCACCAAAAGUAUUGGGACAGUGACACAUUAUAUGUAAAUAAGAAUUUGUUCUUAACUGACUUGCGUAGUUAAAUAAAGGUUAAAUAAAUAAAAAAAAUAUUUGUUGUUUUGGCUCUGUACUCCAGCACUUUGGAUUUGAAAUCAAACAAUGACUAUGGGGUUAAAGUGCUGACUGUCAGCUUUAAUUUGAAGGUAAUCUUCAUCCAAAGCGGGCGAACCAUUUAGAAAUUAUAGCAUUUUGUUGUACAUAGUACCCCUCCAUUUUAGAGGACCAAAAGUAUUGGGAC